This 429-nucleotide ribosomal RNA is filed under the name Pseudomonadota bacterium. Its description in RNAcentral is "Proteobacteria bacterium partial 16S ribosomal RNA". It matches the Rfam family "Bacterial small subunit ribosomal RNA", at positions 355 to 776 of the family's 1533-position model. Lineage: Bacteria; Pseudomonadati; Pseudomonadota. The record is from RNAcentral.
UGGGGAAUAUUGGACAAUGGGCGAAAGCCUGAUCCAGCCAUGCCGCGUGUGUGAAGAAGGUCUUCGGAUUGUAAAGCACUUUAAGUUGGGAGGAAGGGCAGUAAGCGAAUACCUUGCUGUUUUGACGUUACCGACAGAAUAAGCACCGGCUAACUCUGUGCCAGCAGCCGCGGUAAUACAGAGGGUGCAAGCGUUAAUCGGAAUUACUGGGCGCAAAGCGCGCGUAGGUGGAUCGUUAAGUUGAAUGUGAAAGCCCCGGGCUGAACCACAGAACUGCAUCCCAAACUGGCGAGCUGGAGUAGGGCAGAGGGGGGUGGAAUGUCCUGUGGAGCGGUGAAAUGCGUAGGUAUAAGAAGGAACACCAGUGGCGAAGGCGACCACCUGGGCUCAGACUGACACUGAGGUGCGAAAGGGUGGGGAGCAAACAGG